ACGCUCGACACCUACGGGAGGCAGCAGUAGGGAAUCUUCCACAAUGGACGCAAGUCUGAUGGAGCAACGCCGCGUGAGUGAAGAAGGUCUUCGGAUCGUAAAACUCUGUUGUUAGAGAAGAACACGAGUGAGAGUAACUGUUCAUUCGAUGACGGUAUCUAACCAGCAAGUCACGGCUAACUACGUGUCAGCAGCCGCGGUAAUCUGAGCGGGCUGGCAAGGC
Molecule: ribosomal RNA, 223 nt
Filed under: uncultured bacterium
Lineage: Bacteria
Description: partial 16S ribosomal RNA
Rfam family: Bacterial small subunit ribosomal RNA
Source: RNAcentral